Suricata suricatta (meerkat) is the source of this 240-nucleotide long non-coding RNA. RefSeq lists it as uncharacterized. The transcript has 3 exons. Lineage: Eukaryota; Metazoa; Chordata; Mammalia; Carnivora; Herpestidae. The record is from RefSeq and is a predicted model, not a curated record.
GGUCAAUAGUAGCCUAAUGCUAUGUCACUCGGCUCAUCAUGUAGACAUUUUAUCAUCCCACAUCAUUGCAAGAAUAAGGGUUUGCCUUUGGGGACAAUGAUUAUCCUGGUUAGCUCAUGUGAAAGAAUAGACUUCUCUUUCAUGGAAUCUGGAGAGAGGCCCCCUUUCUAUCCAGGCAGAGUAUGAGAGCCAUCGUGUCCAAAUUCUCAGUUCUGUUCGUUAAGCAUGGAACCACCCAGC